CAACUCGACUGCACGAAGCUGGAAUCGCUAGUAAUCGCGGAUCAGCACGCCGCGGUGAAUACGUUCCCGGGCCUUGUACACACCGCCCGUCACACCAUGGAAGUCUGCAAUGCCCGAAGCCGGUGGCCUAACCACUUAUGUGGAAGGAGCCGUCUAAGGCAGGGCAGAUGACUGGGGUGAAGUCGUAACAAGGUAAC
RNAcentral lists this ribosomal RNA (197 nucleotides) under uncultured bacterium. Its description in RNAcentral is "partial 16S ribosomal RNA". It matches the Rfam family "Bacterial small subunit ribosomal RNA", at positions 1308 to 1500 of the family's 1533-position model. The record is from RNAcentral.